Molecule: long non-coding RNA, 1172 nt
Organism: Austrofundulus limnaeus
Lineage: Eukaryota; Metazoa; Chordata; Actinopteri; Cyprinodontiformes; Rivulidae
Exons: 2
Source: RefSeq, a predicted model, not a curated record
UACUUGAAUUGUGUUUGCACCAUGUGUGUGAAUGACUGUUUUGUACAUUUGACUGAAGAUAUUAAGACAAACUGGAGGAAGGUCAUUUACAUAUAGAGAAAAUAACAAAGGCCCCAGAAUGGAACCUUGUGGAACACCUGUCGACAAACAGAGAAGGUGAAAUGUUGUCUCUGAUUCUAAGUGACUGAGCUCCAAGUUGAAUUUACUUCAUUUGGUCAAUAAUAUUUUAUGAUUUACAGAAUCAAAAGCUUUUUUUCAGGUAAAGAAACACAACAUCACCCUUAUCAAAUAAAUGUUUUAGGUUUUAGGAACAAACAAUUAGCAGUGUUCAGUCCUCCUCCUGGUGUUUAGAUGUGAAAUCAUUUGUUAGGCAGCUCCUCUCUCUUGAUUAACUGAGUGAAUGUGAAGCAACACCUGAACAGGUGAGCAGCAGGGUCUAACAAUGAUGAACUGGGCCCGGUUCAGCUUGAAGCAGCAGUGAAAAUCCCCACUCCUUCUCAGGAAGACUUUUAGCAGAACUCCUGAGAUUCUUCAGAACCGGAGCUUUUCUCUGCAGAGCAGGAAAUCAAGUCUGAACUGGAGAAAAGAGGAAGCUGCUGCUUUCUGAGAACCCCACUGAGCAGGAACGAGGUUGUUUGGGUCUGACAGCUGGAUAUAAACCCAGCAGGUCGGAGUCGUCCUGCAGAACCUGAGCCUCCAUCCCAACAGAACUUUUGUAGUGUGGAAGAACCAUGAAGACUCUGGUGACUCUCAGCCUCCUGGCUCUCCUCUGUUUCAUGUAUCACAGCUCUGCAGGUAAGCUCAGAACCUCUGCUUGUGUCGACUCGUCUGGGAGUCGGGUCGGUGCUGACUUCUGUUUGUGUCCACAGCUCCGGAACGUCCAGGGCUGGUGUCGGGUGGGUUCUGCUGUGAGGAAAACGAGAAGGUUAUAAUCCCCAAGAACAAAGUGAAGGAGCUGAAGAUGAGCCCAAGCCACUGCUUUCUCAAGUCUCUGAUAGUCACCACUGAGAUGAAUCACAUCUUCUGCAUUGAUCCCACAUGGAGCUGGGCUCAAACUCUGCAGGAACAUUUCAUCAGGACCAAAGCCGCCUCCACUAAACCUGACAAACUCUAGUUUCUGUCUGUACAAAUGUUACAUUUAAAUUAUUUUUUAAUAAAUUAUGUUGACUUUU